RNAcentral lists this ribosomal RNA (2676 nucleotides) under Triticum aestivum (bread wheat). RNAcentral describes it as "partial small subunit ribosomal RNA". Lineage: Eukaryota; Viridiplantae; Streptophyta; Magnoliopsida; Poales; Poaceae. The record is from RNAcentral.
AUGGCGGCCACGGGCGGCGGAGGCGGUGGCGGUGGCCGCCACUGGAUCGAGGCGGAGACGCCCGACUUCCGAGCCAGGAUGCGCCGUAUCUACCUACCUACCAAAUUGGCCACAUAUUUUCAGCCCAAGUAUUCCCCCAAUUCCCUGGAGGCCCAAACACUUAUUGCCAGAUUGGAGGAGGAUGCCUUCAGGGGGACAAACAGUAAGGUAGAGUACGUGAAAAAAAUAUCUGACAAGGUGGUCACUAUGUUGAGAAAUAAAACUGACGAGCUACAACGACGAGCGCAGUUACAAAGCCAAUUGCAACAGGCUAUUGAAGCACAGGCUUUACAUGGAGGCAGUUCUUCUGUAAUGCCAGAGGCAGUGAUGGUGGCUAGUCGAAGGCCAACUUCUCAGUCUAUGGCACCUCAAACUUCAGGCCUAGUGCCAAACCAGAACAUGCUUCACCCUUGCACGUCAAACAUGCAGAUUGAGGUUGAGAAAAAGCAUCAUGGUCAGGAUCAUUAUCCAAACUUUCAACCCAUGGGAAUCACUAGAGCAGGGCCGGGUGUCCAGUCUGGUGCAUGGCCGAUGCAGUCAGGAGCCAGUCAGAGUGAGAGCCAGUACAUGGCCAGGCAACCGCAGGCUACAAAUUUUGUUGGCUACAGCCUAGCAAGUGGGUCAAAGCCAGUUAUUCGGCCAAAUUCUCAGCACAAUCACCCACUUGGCCAAAAUGAUAGUGCUAUUGGAGUGCGACAGCCGCAGAUUACAAGGUUGAAUGAAAUUUUGAGAGCCAACCAACAAGAGAUGGGCACACAAAGGUACCAAAUGCUUGGAGCACAACAAGCUGAUGUCUCCAAGAUGCAGCCUGGUCAGCUUAGAAUACGGAAUAAUCAGGAGGAUGCUAGGCAAACAGGUUUCUUACAUCCACCAUUCAAGGUAUCUGAGCCCAUGACUCCACCUGUACAACAGAUUCCAGGUGCUCAGCAAUCUCAGAUUCCAGCUAUGAUGGGAAGUACUAGAGAAUAUGAUCUCGAGGAAAUAUUUUGUAAGAUCAAGUCUUGGAAAGAUGCUUAUUUUCCUCAGUUUUUGGAACUGGAUCGUAGAGUCGUUCUUCCAACACUAACAGAGGAACAAUUCUCAUCACUACCUGAAGCAAAAGCUAAUCUAUACAUACGCAAAGCAGAUUUCAAGAAAUCAAUCAGAAGGAUACUGAAUUUAAUGUCGUUGCAGAAGAGUGAUGUGCACGAGGGUUUGAAGGUGGACCUCCCCAAGUACGAAAAACUCAUACAUCAUUUCCUGGCUCUUCUGGAGAGGAAUAAAACUUGCCAUGCAAAGAUGAAUACAGGAUAUCAGUUGCAGAAUUGUGAUGAGCAGCGUAAAGCCAUCAAUCUUACUGGCAAUGCAUCCCCAAUCACUGGUGGUACAAGUAGAGAGCAAAAGCAACCUGCAGAUGCAAGGAUUUUGCAGCCGAGGCAAACAACUAUGGCUAGAACAACAACACCUCAUCAACAGAGCAAUGAUAACUACUUGCAAGGAAUAGAAAGUGCUUCUUUCUCUUCACCAGGAUCAUUGCAGUCUUCAUUGCAGUCUUGGUCUUCCAGUAUGCUCGAGUCCUUGAGGCCCUCACCACUUGCAAAUCCAGUGGUAGCACCAGCGUCACCCUGUGCUCCAGUGCCCAUAAUCUCAAUGGACGUUGACAGCAUAACUGCCUUCUUGAUGGAUGACAAUGCAGCAGCAGCACCGCCACCAAAAGCAAAUGGUUCUAACCAAGUCACUCGUACUGAACCGAUAGUACCAGCCUCACCACUUCAGGCAGACAUAGCAGCUGGUCAUGGAGAGGUUCAGGCGCGAGGUGGAGACGGAACACCGGUGACUAAGAGGCCCAUUGACCGGCUAAUGGAUGCGAUAAGAUCUUCAUCGCCUGGAGCGCUACACAGCUCUAUUAAUUCAAUUCGGUCUUUCCUCAGCAUGAGCGACAUUGUACCACAUGGGAAAAUCGGCACAAUGUUGGAUUGCAACUCCCUGCAGCAGCAGGGUGGAUGUAAUACUGUGAACAAAAUGAAGCGAGUUUUCAAUCAUACAGGGUCGCGAUCUCAAUCACUACCGCUGGGAAGCAUGGAUGGCAGUUGCAUGUCAUUUGAGUGUGGGGCCUCAGACUCUGGAUCAAGCAGUGAGGUAAACUUUAAGAGGCAGAAAAUACAGAAUGCUAGUAAUGAGGCUCUGUUGGAAGAAAUCAAAUCUAUCAACAGCACACUGAUCGAUACAGUGCUCAGCAUAUCUGAUUACUGUGGUAUGGAUGGGAUCCCCCGCUGUGAUGGCGGGACAACAAUCAAACUGUCCUACAGUGCCGUGUCGCUUUCGCCGACCUUUAAAUCUGUCUUUGCCACAUCUGAAGCGUGUCUUGUCUUGCCGGUUAAGCUAUUCGUCCCAGCAGAUUAUCCCAGGAGCUCUCCGGUGCUCAGAAAUGACGAAGGAGAUGAGGUGCCAAGGAAGAAUUCCAGCGCCAUCUCUGCCUUGGCGGAUGUGGUGUUCCGGCACGCCCUCGACGCUCUCCCGGAACCCCGGUCGAUCGAGGCGAUGGCCAGGGCGUGGGACGCCUCCGUGCGGAAGGUCGUGACGCGGUUUGCGCGUCAGCAAGGCGGAGGGACGAUCAGCUCGAUGUUUGGUGGGUGGAAGAGAUGUGCGGCCGCAUGA